This 497-nucleotide ribosomal RNA is filed under the name uncultured bacterium. RNAcentral describes it as "partial 16S ribosomal RNA". It matches the Rfam family "Bacterial small subunit ribosomal RNA", at positions 28 to 507 of the family's 1533-position model. The record is from RNAcentral.
GAUGAACGCUGGCGGCGUGCCUAAUACAUGCAAGUCGAGCGAAUGGACGAGAAGCUUGCUUCUCUGAUGUUAGCGGCGGACGGGUGAGUAACACGUGGAUAGCCUACCUAUAAGACUGGGAUAACUUCGGGAAACCGUAGCUAAUACCGGAUAAUAUUUUGAACCGCAUGGUUCAAAAGUGAAAGACGGUCUUGCUGUCACUUAUAGAUGGAUCCGCGCUGCAUUAGCUAGUUGGUAAGGUAACGGCUUACCAAGGCAACGAUGCAUAGCCGACCUGAGAGGGUGAUCGGCCACACUGGAACUGAGACACGGUCCAGACUCCUACGGGAGGCAGCAGUAGGGAAUCUUCCGCAAUGGGCGAAAGCCUGACGGAGCAACGCCGCGUGAGUGAUGAAGGUCUUCGGAUCGUAAAACUCUGUUAUUAGGGAAGAACAUAUGUGUAAGUAACUGUGCACAUCUUGACGGUACCUAAUCAGAAAGCCACGGCUAACUACGUG